CUCUAAAAUUCUGUGUCACACGCACUCGGCGGCGGCCACUGUGUAGACUGGAUUCAGCUCGCUCGCUCCUCGCUCCGCUUCCUCUGCAACCAUGUCUGACAAACCCGAUAUGGCUGAGAUUGAGAAAUUCGAUAAGUUGAAAUUGAAGAAGACAGAAACGCAAGAGAAAAAUCCACUGCCUUCCAAAGAAACGAUUGAACAGGAGAAGCAAGCAGGCGAGUCGUAAUGAGACGUGCGCC
Molecule: non-coding RNA, 239 nt
Organism: Vicugna pacos (alpaca)
Lineage: Eukaryota; Metazoa; Chordata; Mammalia; Artiodactyla; Camelidae
Source: RefSeq, a predicted model, not a curated record